RNAcentral lists this ribosomal RNA (441 nucleotides) under uncultured bacterium. RNAcentral describes it as "partial 16S ribosomal RNA". It matches the Rfam family "Bacterial small subunit ribosomal RNA", at positions 338 to 795 of the family's 1533-position model. The record is from RNAcentral.
CCUACGGGCGGCAUCAGUGGGGAAUAUUGCACAAUGGGGGAAACCCUGAUGCAGCGACGCCGCGUGAGUGAAGAAGUAUCUCGGUAUGUAAAGCUCUAUCAGCAGGGAAGAAGAAAGACGGUACCUGACUAAGAAGCCCCGGCCAACUACGUACCAGCAGCCGCGGUAAUACGUAGGGGGCAAGCGUUAUCCGGAUUUACUGGGGGUAAAGGGAGCGUAGACGGCUGUGCAAGUCUGACGGGAAAGCCCAGGGCUUAACCCUGGGACUGCUUUGGAAACUGGAGAGCUAGAGUACUGGAGAGGUAAGUGGAAUUCCUGGUGUAGCGGUGAAAUGCGUAGAUAUUAGGAGGAACCCCAGUGGCGAAGGCGGCUUACUGGACAGUAACUGACGUUGAGGCUCGAAAGCGUGGGGAGCAAACAGGAUUAGAUACCCCUGUAGUC